GCUCUGAGGCUGGGGAGGGGCAGCCCCAGGGAGCCUGGCUAGGAACCCCUCCAGUGGUCUGGGAUCCCAUAGCAGGGUGGAAACCUGAGGCUACCUCGGAGCUGGGCCAGGCCUCCAGGAAGCAGAACAGGAGUGAUGUUGUGGCCCUAGGCUAUGCCCAGGUGGCCACCUGGCCUCAGACUGAGG
Non-coding RNA from Ceratotherium simum simum (southern white rhinoceros), 186 nucleotides. Lineage: Eukaryota; Metazoa; Chordata; Mammalia; Perissodactyla; Rhinocerotidae. The record is from RefSeq and is a predicted model, not a curated record.